Molecule: ribosomal RNA, 619 nt
Filed under: uncultured bacterium
Lineage: Bacteria
Description: bacterial SSU rRNA
Rfam family: Bacterial small subunit ribosomal RNA
Source: RNAcentral
CCUACGGGAGGCAGCAGUGGGGAAUUUUGGACAAUGGGCGCAAGCCUGAUCCAGCAAUGCCGCGUGCAGGAAGAAGGCCUUCGGGUUGUAAACUGCUUUUGUCAGGGAAGAAAUCUUCUGGGCUAAUAUCCCGGGAGGAUGACGGUACCUGAAGAAUAAGCACCGGCUAACUACGUGCCAGCAGCCGCGGUAAUACGUAGGGUGCGAGCGUUAAUCGGAAUUACUGGGCGUAAAGCGUGCGCAGGCGGCUUUGCAAGACAGAGGUGAAAUCCCCGGGCUCAACCUGGGAACUGCCUUUGUGACUGCAAGGCUAGAGUACGGCAGAGGGGGAUGGAAUUCCGCGUGUAGCAGUGAAAUGCGUAGAUAUGCGGAGGAACACCGAUGGCGAAGGCAAUCCCCUAGGGCCUGGUACUGACGCUCAUGCACGAAAGCGUGGGGAGCAAACAGGAUUAGAUACCCUGGUAGUCCACGCCCUAAACGAUGUCAACUGGUUNUUGGACGGCUUGCUGUUCAGUACGAAGCUAACGCGUGAAGUUGACCGCCUGGGGAGUAGGCCGCAAGGUUGAAACCGUUAAAUUGAAUUGAGGGCUUGGAGNGNGCGAGCGACGAGAGGAGGAGG